RNAcentral lists this ribosomal RNA (248 nucleotides) under uncultured Lachnospiraceae bacterium. RNAcentral describes it as "partial 16S ribosomal RNA". It matches the Rfam family "Bacterial small subunit ribosomal RNA", at positions 524 to 771 of the family's 1533-position model. The record is from RNAcentral. Lineage: Bacteria; Bacillati; Bacillota; Clostridia; Lachnospirales; Lachnospiraceae.
UACGUAGGGGGCAAGCGUUAUCCGGAUUUACUGGGUGUAAAGGGAGCGUAGACGGCAGUGCAAGUCUGAAGUGAAAGCCCCGGGCUUAACCCGGGAACUGCUUUGGAAACUGUACGGCUGGAGUGCUGGAGAGGUAAGCGGAAUUCCUAGUGUAGCGGUGAAAUGCGUAGAUAUUAGGAGGAACACCAGUGGCGAAGGCGGCUUACUGGACAGUAACUGACGUUGAGGCUCGAAAGCGUGGGGAGCAA